RNAcentral lists this ribosomal RNA (237 nucleotides) under uncultured Eubacteriales bacterium. RNAcentral's name for it is "uncultured Clostridiales bacterium partial 16S ribosomal RNA". It matches the Rfam family "Bacterial small subunit ribosomal RNA", at positions 100 to 334 of the family's 1533-position model. Lineage: Bacteria; Bacillati; Bacillota; Clostridia; Eubacteriales. The record is from RNAcentral.
CGGAACGGGUGAGUAACGCGUGAGCCAACCUGCCUAUGACAGUGGGAUAGCCUCGGGAAACCGGGAUUAAUACCGCAUAAAAUCGUAGAAACACAUGUUUUAACGGUCAAAGAUUUAUCGGUCAUAGAUGGGCUCGCGUCUGAUUAGCUAGUUGGUGAGAUAACAGCCCACCAAGGCGACGAUCAGUAGCCGGUCUGAGAGGAUGAACGGCCACAUUGGAACUGAGACACGGUCCAA